Molecule: ribosomal RNA, 253 nt
Filed under: uncultured bacterium
Lineage: Bacteria
Description: partial 16S ribosomal RNA
Rfam family: Bacterial small subunit ribosomal RNA
Source: RNAcentral
GACGGAGGGGGCUAGCGUUGUCCGGAAUUACUGGGCGUAAAGCGUGUGUAGGCGGAUGGCUAAGUCUGGGGUUAAAGACCGGGGCUUAACCGCGGAGCGGCCUUGGAUACUGGUGAUCUCGAGUAUGGGAGAGGUUGCGGGAAUUCCGAGUGUAGAGGUGAAAUGCGUAGAUAUUCGGAAGAACACCUGAGGCGAAGGCGGGUAACUGGACCAUAUCUGACGCUGAGGCACGAAAGCGUGGGGAGCAAAUAGG